GACGAACGCUGGCGGCGUGCUUAACACAUGCAAGUCGAACGGAAAGGCCUGCUUUCCCUUGUGGAUUGCGGGUACUCGAGUGGCGAACGGGUGAGUAACACGUGAGUGAUCUGCCCCCAACUUGGGUAUAAGCCUGGGAAACUGGGUCUAAUUCCCGAUAGGACUGCAGGGUGGUGCCGGUGGUGGAAAACGAUUUUCUAGUGGUUGGGGAUGAGCUCGCGGCCUAUCAGCUUGUUGGUGGGGGAAUGGCCUACCAAGGCGGCGACGGGUAGCCGGCCUGAGAGGGUGGACGGCCACAUUGGGACUGGGAUACGGCCCAGACUCCUACGGGAGGCAGCAGUGGGGAAUAUUGCACAAUGGGCGGAAGCCUGAUGCAGCGACGCCGCGUGGGGGAUGACGGCCUUCGGGUUGUAAACUCCUUUCGACCGCGAGGAAGCCACCUGGUUGGAAGGGUGGUGACGGUAGUGGUAGAAGAAGCACCGGCUAACUACGUG
RNAcentral lists this ribosomal RNA (494 nucleotides) under uncultured bacterium. RNAcentral's name for it is "partial 16S ribosomal RNA". It matches the Rfam family "Bacterial small subunit ribosomal RNA", at positions 28 to 507 of the family's 1533-position model. The record is from RNAcentral.